Molecule: microRNA precursor, 85 nt
Filed under: Eptesicus fuscus (big brown bat)
Lineage: Eukaryota; Metazoa; Chordata; Mammalia; Chiroptera; Vespertilionidae
Description: mir-9228 microRNA precursor family
Rfam family: mir-9228 microRNA precursor family
Source: Rfam by way of RNAcentral
GCUAAUUGGCUGUGAGGACCUGCUGUGUCUAUAACGGAAGAAUUGCUGUGCUGGAGACACAGUAGGGCUUUGGUGCUCACUGAGU